This 73-nucleotide transfer RNA is filed under the name Gregarina niphandrodes. It matches the Rfam family "tRNA". From Rfam's summary of the family: Transfer RNA (tRNA) molecules are approximately 80 nucleotides in length. Their secondary structure includes four short double-helical elements and three loops (D, anti-codon, and T loops). Lineage: Eukaryota; Apicomplexa; Conoidasida; Eugregarinorida; Gregarinidae. The record is from Rfam by way of RNAcentral.
GGUUUUAUAGCUCAGUUGGCAGAGCGUGUGGCUGUUAAUCUCAAAGUCGCCGAUUCAAUCCCAGCCGAUACCG